GGACCCUUUAAUACAGUCCUGUGAGGCUGGGAAGGAACAGUUAAGCAAUAGUUAACCCUAUUGUAAAACUCUUUGUGUGUGUACACGAACCCUCCCUGUCAAAACGGGGAGGGUUUUAUUGUU
Jeotgalibacillus soli is the source of this 123-nucleotide regulatory RNA element. It matches the Rfam family "PyrR binding site". From Rfam's summary of the family: This family represents the PyrR binding site and terminator structure. This RNA structure is found upstream of a variety of genes involved in pyrimidine biosynthesis and transport. The record is from Rfam. NCBI's taxonomy places the organism in Bacteria, Bacillati, Bacillota, Bacilli, Caryophanales, Caryophanaceae.